GGUUAAGUUACUACGGGCCCACGGUGGAUGCCUAGGCGCCAAGGGCCGAUGAAGGGCGUGGCAAGACUGCGAAAAGCCUCGGUGAGCUGUCUAGCAAGCGUAGCCGGGGAUUCCCGAAUGGGGUAACCCGUCCCAAUGAACUUGGGACAGCCCCGUCUGAACCCUUAGGGCGGGGCGGGUAAGCGAGAGAACUGAAACAUCUCAGUACCUCGAGGAAAAUAAAUCAACCGAGAUUCCCCUAGUAGUGGCGAACGAACGGGGAAGAGCCUAAACCUCUGGAGCUUAGUGGGCUGGAGCCCUAUGCUUCAGGGGGGUUGCAAGGCGUGUCAGGGGAAGCUCCAGCAACCCCGGGGAGUCAAAAACCUCUUCUUUAGCCGAAGGUCCCUGGAAAGGGCCGCCAGAGCGGGUGAGAGCCCCGUAGGCGAAAAGGAAGGGGCUCCCGAUGCGUUCUUGAGUACCACGGGACACGAGGAAUCCCGUGGGAAGCCGGGGGGACCACCCUCCAAGGCUAAAUACCCUUGGCGACCGAUAGCGUACCAGUACCGUGAGGGAAAGGUGAAAAGAACCCCGGGAGGGGAGUGAAAUAGAUCUGAAACCGUGGGCCUACAUACGGUCGGAGUCUCUCCUUUGGGAGGGAUGACGGCGUGCUUAUUGAAGAAUGAGCCGACGAGUUAAUCUCUGCGGCAAGGUUAACUCCGUGGACGGAGGGAGCCGAAGCGAAAGCGAGUCUGAACAGGGCGUCGGAGUCGCGGGGAUUAGACCCGAAACCGGGUGAGCUACCCAUGGCCAGGGUGAAGCUCGGAUAGCAUCCGAGUGAAGGCCCGAACUCGUGGUCGUUGCAAAGACCUGGGAUGAGCUGUGGGUAGAGGUGAAAUGCCAAACGAACCCGGAGAUAGCUGGUUCUCCCCGAAAUGCAUUGAGGUGCAGCCUCAAGGAUUGAAUGCUGGAGGUAGGGCUCUGGAUGGGCUAGGGGGCGUGAGCUUACCAAACCCAACCAAACCGCCAAUGCCAGUAUGUCUUACCUUGGGAGUGAGACAGUGGGGGAUAAGCUUCAUUGUCGAAAGGGAAACAGCCCAGACCACCGGCUAAGGCCCCCAAGUGCGGGCUAAGUGGUAAAGGAAGUGGGAUCGCCCAGACAGCCAGGAGGUUGGCUUAGAAGCAGCCACCCUUUAAAGAGUGCGUAAUAGCUCACUGGUCGAGGGGUCCUGCGCCGAAAAUCCAACGGGGCUCAAGCCCACCGCCGAAGCCGUGGCUCCGAGAGGCGAAAGCCAAUCGGGGGGUAGGGGAGCGUUCCCCGGGCGCCGAAGGCAGAUCGUGAGGUCUGCUGGAGCGCGGGGAAGUGAGAAUGUCGGCAUGAGUAGCGCAAACCAGGGUGAGAAUCCCUGGCACCGAAAGCCUAAGGUUUCCUACGCAACGUUGUUCGGCGUAGGGUUAGUCGGGCCUAAGCCGUAGCCGAAAGGCGAAGGCGAUGGACAACGGGUCAACAUUCCCGUACCGCCCUUAUCUCGCUUUAAAGCAAAGGGGGGACGCGGAAAGGUAGGCGGAGCGUGCCCAAUGGACAUGGUGCGUCUGCCCCUGUAGGCCAUGCCGGGAUAGGCAAAUCCGUUCCGGCGUUACGAGCUGAGGGGGGUGGAAACUUCGAGGUUAGCUCGGGGAAUUCCGUUGAACCUAUACCGCCAAGAAAAGCCUCGUUGCUAUGGGAUAUGGGCGCCCGUACCGCAAACCGACACAGGUAGGCAGGGGUAAAAGCCCCAAGGUGUUCGAGAGAACCCUCGUUAAGGAACUCGGCAAUCUAACCCCGUAACUUAGGAAGAAGGGGUGCCCUGGAGGUGAAAGGACUUGCUCCUGGAGCCUUUCGGGGUUGCAGAUAAUAGGGCCAAGCGACUGUUUAACAAAAACACAGGUCUCUGCUAAGGGGAAACCCUACGUAUAGGGGCUGACGCCUGCCCAGUGCCGGAAGGUUAAGGGGAGGGGUCAAUCCCGGUUUCGGCCGGGAGGAAGCUCUGAACUGAAGCCCCGGUGAACGGCGGCCGUAACUAUAACGGUCCUAAGGUACCGAAAUCCCUUGUCGGGUAAAUUCCGACCCGCAGGAAAGGCGUAACGACUUGGUCGCUGUCUCAACGAGGGACUCGGCGAAAUUGCAAGGCCCGUGAAGAUGCGGGUAACCCGCGACAGGACAAAAAGACCCCGUGGAGCUUUACUGCAUCCUGACAUUGGACUGGGGUCAGAGUUGUGUAGGAUAGGUGGGAGGCUUGGAAGUCUCAACGCCAGUUGGGAUGGAGCCGCCGUUGAAAUACCACUCUUCUCUGUCUUUGGCUCUAACCCCGGAUAGGCCGGGGGACCGUGUCUGGUGGGCAGUUUGACUGGGGCGGUCGCCUCCCAAAAGGUAACGGAGGCGCCCAAAGGUCCCCUCAAGGUGGAUGGAAAUCACCUGCAGAGUGUAUUGGCAUAAGGGGGCUUGACUGCGAGACCAACAAGUCGAGCAGGGACGAAAGUCGGGCAAAGUGAUCCUACGGUCCCGUGUGGAAGGGCCGUGGCUUAUCGGACAAAAGCUACCCCGGGGAUAACAGACUAAUCUCGCCCAAGAGUUCACAUCGACGGCGAGGUUUGGCACCUCGAUGUCGGCUCGUCGCAUCCUGGGGCUGAAGAAGGUCCCAAGGGUCCGGCUGUUCGCCGGUUAAAGCGGCACGCGAGCUGGGUUCAGAACGUCGUGAGACAGUUCGGUCUCUAUCCGUCGCGGGCGCAGGAGAUUUGAGGGAGGCUCUCCCUAGUACGAGAGGACCGGGAGGGACAGACCUCUGGUGUGCCGGUUGUCCCGCCAGGGGCACCGCCGGGUAGCCACGUCUGGAGUGGAUAAGCGCUGAAAGCAUAUAAGCGCGAAGCCCUGCCCAAGACCAGAUCUCCCAUCCGCCGAAAGGCGGAGUAAGGCCACAGGUAGACUACCUGUUUGAUAGGCCGCAGGUGUAAGUCUCGUAAGGGAUUGAGCCUAGCGGUACUAAUCGGCCGAGGACUUGACCCA
Molecule: ribosomal RNA, 3019 nt
Filed under: Chloroflexota bacterium
Lineage: Bacteria; Bacillati; Chloroflexota
Description: 23S ribosomal RNA
Rfam family: Bacterial large subunit ribosomal RNA
Source: RNAcentral